RNAcentral lists this ribosomal RNA (462 nucleotides) under uncultured bacterium. Its description in RNAcentral is "bacterial SSU rRNA". It matches the Rfam family "Bacterial small subunit ribosomal RNA", at positions 40 to 518 of the family's 1533-position model. The record is from RNAcentral.
CGGCGUGCCUAACACAUGCAAGUCGAGCGAGGAGAUCCUUCGGGAUGAUCCUAGCGGCGGACGGGUGAGUAACACGUGGGCAACCUGCCUCAUAGAGAGGAAUAGCCUUCCGAAAGGGAGAUUAAUACCUCAUAACAUUGGCAGUUUCGCAUGGAACAGCAAUUAAAGGAGUAAUCCGCUAUGAGAUGGGCCCGCGGCGCAUUAGCUAGUUGGUGAGGUAACGGCUCACCAAGGCGACGAUGCGUAGCCGACCUGAGAGGGUGAUCGGCCACAUUGGGACUGAGACACGGCCCAGACUCCUACGGGAGGCAGCAGUGGGGAAUAUUGCACAAUGGGGGAAACCCUGAUGCAGCCAACGCCGCGUGAGUGAUGACGGCCUUCGGGUUGUAAAGCUCUGUCUUCAGGGACGAUAAUGACGGUACCUGAGGAGGAAGCCACGGCUAACUACGUGCCAGCAGCAGC